RNAcentral lists this ribosomal RNA (1454 nucleotides) under uncultured Bordetella sp. Its description in RNAcentral is "partial 16S-23S ribosomal RNA intergenic spacer". It matches the Rfam family "Bacterial small subunit ribosomal RNA". Lineage: Bacteria; Pseudomonadati; Pseudomonadota; Betaproteobacteria; Burkholderiales; Alcaligenaceae. The record is from RNAcentral.
GUUCGAUUAUGGCUCAGAUUGAACGCCAGGAUGCUUUACACAUGCAAGUCGAACGGCAGCACGGACUUCGGUCUGGUGGCGAGUGGCGAACGGGUGAGUAAUGUAUCGGAACGUGUCAGUAGCGGGGAUAACUACGCGAAAGUAUAAUACUGCAUACGCCCUUUGUGGCGCCGGGGACCUUCGGGCCUCGCACUAUUAGAGCGGACACGAUAUCGGAUUAGCUAGUUGGUGGGGUAACGGCUCACCAAGGCGACGAUCCGUAGCUGGUUUGAGAGGACGACCAGCCACACUGGGACUGGAGACACGGCCCAGACUCCUACGGAGGCAGCAGGGGGAAUUCUUGACAAUGGGGAACCCCUGAUCCAGCCAUCCGGGGCGUGCGAUGAAGGCCUCGGUUGAAAGCACUUUGGCAGAAGAAACGGCACGGGAUAAUACCUCCCGUGCAACUGACGGUACCAGAAUAAGCACUGGCUAACUACGUGCCAGCAGCCGCGUAAUACGUAGGUGCAAGCGUUAAUCGGAAUUUUGGCUGGCGUAAAGCGCGCAGGCGGUUCGGAAAGAAAGAUGUGAAAUCCCAGAGCUUAACUUUGGAACUGCAUUUUUAACUAUCAGAGCUAGAGUGUGUCAGAGGGAGGUGGAAUUCCGCGUAGCAGUGAAAUGUGUAGAUAUGCGGAGGAACACUGAUGGCGAAGGCAGCCUCCUGGGAUAACACCGACGUCACAUGCACGAAAGCGUGGGAGUAAACAGAUUAGAUACCCCGGUAGUCCACGCUCUAAACGAUGUCAACUAGCUGUUGGGGCCUUCGGGCUCGGUAGCGCAGCGACCGCGAAGCUGACCGCCUGGGGAGUACGGUCGCAAGAUUGGGAACCCAAAGGAAUUGACGGGGACCCGCACAAGUGGAUGAUGUGGAUUAAUUCGAUGCAACGCGAAAACCUUACCUACCCUUGACAUGUCUGAAUCCCGAAGAGAUUUGGGAGUGCUCGUAGUGAUAACCGAACACAGGUGCUGCCGUCGUCAGCUCGUGUCGUGAGAUGUUGUUGUCCCGCAACGAGCGCAAACUCCUUGUCAUUAGUUGCCGAAAGGGCACUCUAAUGAGACUGCUGGUGACAAACCGGAGGAAGGUGAUGACGUCGUCCUCAUGGUUCUUGCGGUAGGCUUCUCAAGCACGUCAUACAAUGGUCGGGACAGAUGGUCGCCAACCCGCGAGGGGAGCCAAUCCCAGAAACCCGAUCAGUCCGAUCGCAGUCUGCAACUCUCAUCUGGUGAAGUCGGAAUCGCUAGUAAUCGCGGAUCAGCAUGUCGCGGUGAAUACGUUCCUGGUCUUGUACACCGCCCGUCACACCAUGGGAGUGGUUUUACCAGAAGUAGUUAGCCUAACCGUAAGGAGGGCGAUUACCACGGUAGGAUUCAUGACUGGGGUGAAGUCGUAACAAGGUAAACUCCUGUUACUACCU